This 465-nucleotide ribosomal RNA is filed under the name Vreelandella stevensii. Its description in RNAcentral is "partial 16S ribosomal RNA". It matches the Rfam family "Bacterial small subunit ribosomal RNA", at positions 338 to 795 of the family's 1533-position model. Lineage: Bacteria; Pseudomonadati; Pseudomonadota; Gammaproteobacteria; Oceanospirillales; Halomonadaceae. The record is from RNAcentral.
CCUACGGGUGGCAGCAGUGGGGAAUAUUGGACAAUGGGGGGAACCCUGAUCCAGCCAUGCCGCGUGUGUGAAGAAGGCCCUCGGGUUGUAAAGCACUUUCAGUGAGGAAGAACGCCUGGUGGUUAAUACCCAUCAGGAAAGACAUCACUCACAGAAGAAGCACCGGCUAACUCCGUGCCAGCAGCCGCGGUAAUACGGAGGGUGCGAGCGUUAAUCGGAAUUACUGGGCGUAAAGCGCGCGUAGGUGGCUUGAUAAGCCGGUUGUGAAAGCCCCGGGCUCAACCUGGGAACGGCAUCCGGAACUGUCAAGCUAGAGUGCAGGAGAGGAAGGUAGAAUUCCCGGUGUAGCGGUGAAAUGCGUAGAGAUCGGGAGGAAUACCAGUGGCGAAGGCGACCUUCUGGACUGACACUGACACUGAGGUGCGAAAGCGUGGGUAGCAAACAGGAUUAGAUACCCCAGUAGUC